UAAGCCGCGGUAAUACGNAGGGUGCAAGCGCNGUCCGGAAUNACUGGGCGUAAAGAGUUCGUAGGCGGUNUGUCGCGUCGUUUGUGAAAACCAGCAGCUCAACUGCUGGCUUGCAGGCGAUACGGGCAGACUUGAGUACUGCAGGGGAGACUGGAAUUCCUGGUGUAGCGGUGAAAUGCGCAGAUAUCAGGAGGAACACCGGUGGCGAAGGCGGGUCUCUGGGCAGUAACUGACGCUGAGGAACGAAAGCGUGGGUAGCGAACAGGAUUAGAUACCCUGGUAGUCCACGCCGUAAACGGUGGGCGCUAGGUGUGGGUUCCUUCCACGGAAUCCGUGCCGUAGCUAACGCAUUAAGCGCCCCGCCUGGGGAGU
RNAcentral lists this ribosomal RNA (372 nucleotides) under uncultured bacterium. RNAcentral describes it as "bacterial SSU rRNA". It matches the Rfam family "Bacterial small subunit ribosomal RNA", at positions 508 to 881 of the family's 1533-position model. The record is from RNAcentral.